Mastomys coucha (southern multimammate mouse) is the source of this 2253-nucleotide long non-coding RNA. RefSeq lists it as uncharacterized. The transcript is spliced from 2 exons. NCBI's taxonomy places the organism in Eukaryota, Metazoa, Chordata, Mammalia, Rodentia, Muridae. The record is from RefSeq and is a predicted model, not a curated record.
CUUUACCCCAGAAAUGCAAGCAGCCUCCAUCCACGAGGGAUCAAUAGCUCAGCUCUCUAACAUUAUAACACACAGUUCAUAUGUGAAGGAGUCCUCUAGACUCCUUUCUGCUACCUCCACGGCCUUGAUUCUGCCCUGGUGCAUGGCAGGUCUGUCUACUCGAAUAAGUAAAGAGCCCAGGCUGCUGAGUCAUGUCUUAGCAACCACGAAAGAGUUAAUUAAGUAGGCCUGCAGUGAGCACAAUGCCCCCCUCUGACUAUUUCAGGGGAAAACCUGACAGAUGAUGGGUUCCUGCUCUGCUGGGAAUAUUUCUUCCUUGAGUUCUGGCAGCUUUUUCUUGGCCACAGAGUAUCUAAGACCCACUUUGCCUUUUCUGGUCAUAAACACUUAGAGUGUUGAAUCUGAAGUCUUGAUUACUUUAUUUUUUAACGGUUCCUUUGAAAAGCCAGUUGUUUCCAUAGUGAUGCAUUCUGUUUGUUUAAGUCCUUCUAUAUGAUUCCACCCACAAGCUCCUUACUAAGGGACUAGUUCACAACUGCCCUUUCCCCUAGCUUCCUAUUUUCUCUUACACACACACACACACACACACACACACACACACACACACACACACGGGGCAGGGGUGGGGUGCUGUCAGAAUUGAGCUACAGAAGUCCAUUCUUAGAUAAGAGCCCUGGAUCUGGUAGACAAAUGAUUUUGAUGUGUAUCAGGGUGGAAGGCUAAUGGUGCUUCCCCCAGCUGGGUUAGUAGUCACAGGCCUGGGCUGCUACAGAGCCUUUCCCUGCUUGUGAUCAGAACCAGGUGUUGGGCUAGGCUGUUUAUUUAGAAUUUGGGGGUUGGGCAGUUUCAGAACACCCCGCUAGGAAGCAGCACUUGUAACCAGCAUCAUCAAAAGGAUGACUUUUGUGCUGUCACUCCCCCUCAGGGGGAUGAUGAUGUCACUCAGCAUAGGGACAGUCCUGUUCUCAAGUGGCUUCCAGGAGUAUAGAUGUGUCACUGUUCAAACAGAGCCUUGGUUCCCAGUUCGACCCAUCGGAUUGGCUCUUUAGACAAAUCCUGUAGUCUGAAGGGGAUGGGAGCCCAGGGAGUUAAGUUAGACUGCUGUCCCCACUGAACCGGCUAGAAGACUGAUGGAUAAAGCACACCAGGGGAACAAGGCAGCGCUGGAGGUGACAAGGUUCAUCCGACACUCCCAGUGGCCUAGUGAAGGAACACACAGCAGCCUCCUGAAGGGGUACUAGGCCUAUGAGGCAGCCCUGCAAGGGUUGGUUGUUGACAGUCUGCAGACUGCGCUAACCAGGUGGCUUCCUUGCACCUUGCUGGGUAACAAGCCUCCCUUAGCCACAGAACUGCCUGCAGGGCAGAAAUAGGGAGCAACUUGACAGAUCCACUGCAGAGCUCUUGGGAGUGAGGUAGAGAGAGCUUCGGCCUGAGUCAUGCAGACCUGGGCAUGUGUCCCAGCACAGCCCUUCCAGAAUUACCCAGGAGCAGCCAGCCAAUCAACCUUCGAGCCUCAGUCUCCUCAGCCAUGAAAUGAACCCACAGGCAAGCCUCCUCCCAGGAGUCUUGAAAGGGUUGACAUCUGACACUUCACAUGCCCUGCUAACCCUAGUCAUGACUCUUAGGAUGCGUGGGUGGUCCUUUUCUGAUACAAGGCCCUCGGACCAUGCCCAUUCCCUGGGUGUUCCCUGAACCCUGCAGAUGCUGCUGCUGCAGCCAUUGAGGUUGGAGGUGAGGAGGCUUUCCAGAGAAUGGUCAAAAUGAAAAUUGUGGAGCUAAUCAUAUUAAGAACUGAUUACACUUAAAUUAAAUCCCCCUCAGACAUUCAAGCUGAAGAAAGCUCUCAGGUGCUGAAGUGGCUUAGCGCUGAUGCUCAGCUGGCCGUCAGAUGCCCUACCACAUGCUCCGGGGUAAUUGGUGCAAGCACCCCUAUGGCUGGAACCCAAGACUCCACUGCUUCCUCCCCUUGAGAUCACUCUUUGACAUCUGCCAGGCCCACAAACAGGUCACCCACUGAUUAAGUACACAAAAAAUGCACCCCACCCCCACAUUGUUUUCUCUUCUACUGGCUGGCCUUUCUACAUCCUAUACUGAAUGACUUGGCCUAGAAGAUGAAACAAGACUGCUAGGCUUAGAGCUGUGUUCAUGCCUGGGCUUUUAUGUCCAGAGACUGUCAGAUGCAGUGGUGGGCAGAUAAAAAGGAGACACAAUCUCUUUCACUACAAAUAAAAGCAACCAAGGGGAGUUGGAUUG